AGAUUUUAUUAGUUUCUAUAUGUGAUAGCUUGUUAUUGGAUGUUUUUUUUAAUUCUGUAUUAGUAUUAGUUAUAAUAAGCUGUAAGCUAUCUUAAUAAAAUAAAA
Molecule: long non-coding RNA, 105 nt
Organism: Melitaea cinxia (Glanville fritillary)
Lineage: Eukaryota; Metazoa; Arthropoda; Insecta; Lepidoptera; Nymphalidae
Exons: 3
Source: RefSeq, a predicted model, not a curated record